RNAcentral lists this ribosomal RNA (253 nucleotides) under uncultured bacterium. Its description in RNAcentral is "partial 16S ribosomal RNA". It matches the Rfam family "Bacterial small subunit ribosomal RNA", at positions 524 to 776 of the family's 1533-position model. The record is from RNAcentral.
UACAGAGGUCUCAAGCGUUGUUCGGAUUCAUUGGGCGUAAAGAGCUCGUAGGCGGACUGUCACGUCUGCUGUGAAAAGCUGGGGCUUAACCCUGGCCUUGCAGUGGAUACGGGCAGACUAGAGGUAGGUAGGGGAGAAUGGAAUUCCCGGUGUAGCGGUGAAAUGCGCAGAUAUCGGGAGGAACACCGGUGGCGAAGGCGGUUCUCUGGGCCUUACCUGACGCUGAGGAGCGAAAGCGUGGGGAGCGAACAGG